GCAUGUCGAACGAAGCUUUUGUGCUUAGAGGCGACUGGGUGAGUCACACGUACUUAAUCUGCCCUCAAGUCUGUGACAACUGUUGGAACCGCCUGCUAUACCGGAUACGUAAUGACCACGCAUGUGGAUAUUAUAGAAGUAGCAGUUGCUUCGGUAUAGGAUGAGAGUGCGCCAGAUUAGCUAGUUGGUGUGGUAAAGGCCUACCAAGGCGACGAUAAGUAGCGGGGUCGAGAGGCUGAAC
Molecule: ribosomal RNA, 241 nt
Filed under: uncultured bacterium
Lineage: Bacteria
Description: partial 16S ribosomal RNA
Rfam family: Bacterial small subunit ribosomal RNA
Source: RNAcentral